Molecule: long non-coding RNA, 4223 nt
Filed under: Homo sapiens (human)
Lineage: Eukaryota; Metazoa; Chordata; Mammalia; Primates; Hominidae
Description: HSALNT0096430
Source: RNAcentral
CCAGUCUAUCAUUGAUGGACAUUUGGGUUGGUUCCAAGUCAUUGCUAUUGUGAAUAGUGCCACAGUAAACAUACGUAUUCAUGUGUCUUUAUAGUACCAUGAUUUAUAAUCUUUCGGGUAUAUACCCAGUAAUGGGAUCGCUGGGUCAAAUGGUAUUUCUAGUUCUAGAUCCUUGAGGAAUCGCCACACUGUCUUCCGCAGUGGUUGAACUAAUUUACCAACAGUGUAAAAGCAUUCGAAGAAAUAGUGUUUUCAUAUACUGUUAAUGAGAAUGUAAAUCAGGAAAGCUUUUGGCAAAAUUUAUCACGUAAAACCCUUUGACCCAGCAAUGCCACUUGUCAGGCUCUCUUCUCCUAAAGUACUCAUGUAGGAUUCAGAGUAGUUUAUAAGAUGAUUCAUUGCAGAUUGCAUGUAAUUGUGAAAAAUAAGAAGCAAAUUGCAAAUCCCUCAUAGGGAACUAAUUAAAUUAGGGCACAUCUACUUCAUGGGUUGAAUAUAGCUAGUUUUAAUGAGAACAUCUAUAUGUACCAGAAAGUUUUAGGGGGAAAUAGUAAGAUAUGUAUCAAAAACCGUGAGAUGGCAUAUAUGAAAAGUAGAAUUAAUAAGGGAUGGUGAAAGUGGAUGUUUCAUGUUUUAUAUAUUUUUGUUGUUUAAAACUUUUACUAAACAUGUCUUCUAUAAAUAAAAAACUUAAAGCUUUAUGGGGAAAAAAUGAAGAGAAUUUAAGAGGAUCCCAAUCUUCUUCCUAAUUGACUUAGUUAAGUUCUGGCCUGAAUAGAACAUAGCAACUGCUGGAAACUUAAGGAAAAGACUUGAUUAGAAAUUUAGUGCUUAUAAAAUACUGCCAUGUACUGGGGAAACCUGCUGAUUUCAGCAGUUAGGACACCAGGAGAAUAGCUGAUUGGCAGUUUGCAAGUAGCUUGUAGGGUGUAAGUUGGCAGAAAUGCAAGCCACACAAUGUAUACAGACGUCCUGCUGGAUCUUUCAAACCUAGGGAUGGCAGAAUCAUAGUCUGUAAAUUCUAUUCAAGUUAAGUCCAAUUUUUCUAUCUAAGUAACAGAGUUGCUUCUUCUGCACUCACUUGCCUAAUUCUCUCACAUUCAGACUGUGUAACUGCAGACCACUUGCAUUUGUUUUCUACUGCUGCUGUAACAAAUUACUACAAACAUAGCGGCUUAAAACAUCACGAAUGUAUGACAUUAUAGUUCUGAAGGUCAGAAGUCUGAAAUGGGUUUUAUGGAGCUCAAAUCAAAAUGUCGGCAAAACUAAAUUCCUUCUGGAGGCUCUAGGGGAGAAUCUGUUCCUUGCCUUUUCCAGCUUCUAGAGGCUACCCACAUUUCCUGGCUCAAGGCUGCAUCACUCCAAAUUCUGCUUAUGCUAUUACAUCUCAUCUUCUUGCUCUGACCCCCCUGCCUCCCUCAAACAAUCCAGGAUAAUCUCUUCAUCUCAAUAUAUUUAACUUAAUCACAUCUGCAAAGUCCUUUUUGCCAUCUAAGGUUUUGUAUUCUCAGGUUCCAGAGAUUAGGACAUGGCCAUUAUUCUGCCAUGCCACCUAUUCUGUUAGAAGACCCUCAGUGACUAGCAGGGUGACCCAAGAUAAGGCAUCUUUGUUUGCUCUCUCAGUAAAUUUGAAAUUAGGAACCUGUAGCUAUCACUGCCUUCCUACACCACCCCAUGAGAGAGGGAUAAUUUGAGAGAUGUCAGACUUGAAGGUCUUCCUGUCAUUUUAGGAGAAGAGUGUAUGCAAAAUUACUGGUGAUGGCAUGAAUUAUACUACCAGUGAUACUAUCAACUUUGAUUUUUCUCUAUUUCUAAGGCGGUAUGAACUGCUUAGUUCUGCUGUCAUAAGGGAAGGGACUAUUGCUUUAGGCCCUGACCCAGUGUUUUCCCACACAGUCAUCACUAUGGAUGCUCAUUGUCUUGUUUUUUGUCCUAUUGUCUAAGGCAAGGUUAUAUAUGGAGUAUUUUAGAAGGAAUUAAAUUCUCAGAUAUUCACUAACAUAAGAACAUCCUCCCAUAAAGUCAAUCGAUGAUGCUGAGUUAUCUCCGAAGUUGUCAAUACAGUUUCAAAUGUCCCAGAAAAGAGCGUGAAUGGGACUCAGCAAUACCAUGGCACAAAUAUAUAGUAAUGGGGGAAAAAAGAAAUAGAAAUUACAAGGUGUGAACAAAAGGUACUGCUGCAAAUAUUAAUGUAGUGGUGCUAAUGUGCAGUAUUUUUGCUGCAUCCAACAUGAACCUGUGAUGCUAUGUCCUGGAUACCACAAAUAACAACCCUUUACAUACUCAUGGUUUAAAAAAAUAUUAUUAUUCUAUGUGAUCUUUGUGCUAACCCUAAGAUGCUGGCUGGGACUCAUAUCUUUAACAUACAGAGCAGAGAAAUGAGGCUCUGAAUCACUGUCCAAGGUUUAAUCUCCCUAAGAGGUGAAUUAUGACUUGAACUUGUGUUAUCUACACUUCUAUUUUCUUAUCUUCAAAAUAAAGAUAAGAAAUGGGAUUUUUUGAGAAAUAAAUAUUAAUAUUUGUAAAGUGCUUAGAAUACUUCUCAGAACAUAAACUCUAAAUAAAUGAUAUAUAAACUAAACACAAACUUAGAGCUCCUUGGCAUGUAUCAUCUUAUAACUAGAAAUUUCUUGAAUAAUAAAAUCAACAUCAAGGAGGUAGUGAUUGUAUGAAUAAUGGGUUAAUAAUAAUAUAUAUGCAAACUUUACUCCAUUUUAACACUAUGACCCUUCACACCUCUGUAACUCUCAAUUAAAAUUAGAUGUCUUUUCUGCUUCUUUUUUGUUCGGCUUUAGCAGUUACUUGUUUCUAGCCAUUACUGUGCGAUGAUUUAAUCAGUAACUGUACCUUCUGUUUGACUCUAAGCUGCAAGAAAGCAAAGUCUAGCGCUUACUUUUCACUGUUGUAUUUAAUAGCACCUAAAUGCUACCUGGUAGAUUCUCAAAUAUUUAAAAGAAUGGACCAGAAACUGAAUCAAAUUAAGUUAUCAUGUGCUGUGCUCCCAUCUGCUAUGUUUUCAUUCCCUAAUGAAAUUGUGGCAUAAAAUUAACCUCAAAUGUUGGGAAAAUACUCCGAUUUACAACUUUCUUUAAUGUGUAACUUGAGUCAUUGGAUUAAUUGCCAACUCAUAUUCGAGGUUAUAAAAUGCUUUCACAGUCAUUUAUCUCUUCUCUUGGAGCCUCACUGUAGUUCUUAGAGGUAACUAUGGAUGGUUUUGUCUCUCUUUUUAGAGAUAAUACAACAGAAGCCCCAAGAAAGAAAAUGUCUUUUCCAACAUCAUAAAUCUAGUCCAUGUCAGAAGUAAAACUAGGCAAUAUAUCAUUCACAUCUUUUAUAGUAGUAAUAAAACUGUAUUGAUGAUUAGUAGUCAGGAUUAAGCUAGUGUGUGUGUGUGUGUGUGUGUGUGUGUAUUCAUUUAAUGCACUCAAUAGUUAAUUAGAUGGCAUUAUCACUAUUUUACAGAUAAAGAAAAUGGGACUGCUGACUGGUUAAAAUUUGUGCAACUAAUCAUUUCUAAUUGUCGGAGCAGAAAUGAAACCUCUGGAACCAUGUCUGCAUGGUUUCAGAGCCUGAGAUUUAAGCCACCAUACUGCACUUCUUUCCUUCUCAAUGUGAUUUUAUUUCUACUACAAGAUGCUGACUCCCCUGUGCCCUUUCUUGACACUUAAUGAGUUUAUUGCCUUAUUCCCUAAUGUACGAAGUCCUACUUGUUUUCACUUUUCCUAUUUUUAUUCUGUUCUGACCUCUGGGAAUAACGUUUAGCAAAGCUGGGACAACCUACCUUCCCUAGCUGACAGACAAAAGAGAAGAUGCCUUUCAAUUACCAUCACUUAACUAGUGGAAGCUAGGCUCUUUGAAAAGAGUAUAAUGAGUUUUCACAGGACAAAGGAAAUUAUCCAAAACAUAGCAUGUUUCGACAGUGAAACCUGCUUCUGAAUAUUUUGCCCUUAGCAAUUGUCAGUACAUAGCAUUUAAUAAUCCCCACAGUACACAUGUUCAGUGGAGACCUCUUAGCGCUUGCUCAUGGAAGAGUGUGACACUUUCAAUUUUCACAUCAGUGUAGGGCUUGGGGUUGAGAGUCAUGGCAGGAUACCACAGCAUCAAAGAAGGUUGGAGCUGAAAAAGAACUUAGAACAGACCUAACGGUUUUGACUUUCACUGAGUUUUCUAUAGACCUCAGUUUCCACAUCUGUAAAAUAAGGGAGAUGAAUUAGAUUCUUUUA